GGGAAGGUGGCCGAGUGGUUAUGGCGGGUGCCUCAAGUUUCAAAACUUUUCGACUUGAUUUUAACAGGUUGGUACAAGCAUCUGGUGAAUUCCGCGUGGGUUCGAAUCCCACCCUUCUCA
Letharia columbiana is the source of this 120-nucleotide non-coding RNA. The record is from the annotation of a RefSeq genome assembly. NCBI's taxonomy places the organism in Eukaryota, Fungi, Ascomycota, Lecanoromycetes, Lecanorales, Parmeliaceae.